GUGGGGAAUUUUCCGCAAUGGGCGAAAGCCUGACGGAGCAACGCCGCGUGAGGGAUGAAGGCCUCUGGGCUGUAAACCUCUUUUAUCAAGGAAGAAGAUCUGACGGUACUUGAUGAAUAAGCCACGGCUAAUUCCGUGCCAGCAGCCGCGGUAAUACGGGAGUGGCAAGCGUUAUCCGGAAUUAUUGGGCGUAAAGCGUCCGCAGGCGGCCCUACAAGUCUGCUGUUAAAAAGUGGAGCUUAACUCCAUCAUGGCAGUGGAAACUGUUGGGCUUGAGUGUGGUAGGGGCAGAGGGAAUUCCCGGUGUAGCGGUGAAAUGCGUAGAUAUCGGGAAGAACACCAGUGGCGAAGGCGCUCUGCUGGGCCAUCACUGACGCUCAUGGACGAAAGCCAGGGGAGCGAAAGGGAUUAGAUACCCCUGUAGUCCUGGCCGUAAACGAUGAACACUAGGUGUCGGGGGAAUCGACCCCUCCGGUGUCGUAGCCAACGCGUUAAGUGUUCCGCCUGGGGAGUACGCACGCAAGUGUGAAAC
RNAcentral lists this ribosomal RNA (532 nucleotides) under uncultured cyanobacterium. RNAcentral's name for it is "bacterial SSU rRNA". It matches the Rfam family "Bacterial small subunit ribosomal RNA", at positions 354 to 900 of the family's 1533-position model. The record is from RNAcentral. Lineage: Bacteria; Bacillati; Cyanobacteriota.